AGUGAACGCUGGCGGUAGGCCUAACACAUGCAAGUCGAACGGCAGCACAGUAAGAGCUUGCUCUUACGGGUGGCGAGUGGCGGACGGGUGAGGAAUACAUCGGAAUCUACUUUUUCGUGGGGGAUAACGUAGGGAAACUUACGCUAAUACCGCAUACUACCUACGGGUGAAAGCAGGGGAUCUUCGCACCUUGCGCGAUUGAAUUAGCCGAUGUCGGAUUAGCUAGUUGGCGGGGUAAAGGCCCACCAAGGCGACGAUCCGUAGCUGGUCUGAGAGGAUGAUCAGCCACACUGGAACUGAGACACGGUCCAGACUCCUACGGGAGGCAGCAGUGGGGAAUAUUGGACAAUGGGCGAAAGCCUGAUCCAGCCAUACCGCGUGGGUGAAGAAGGCCUUCGGGUUGUAAAGCCCUUUUGUUGGGAAAGAAAAGCAGCAGGUUAAUACCCCGAUGUUCUGACGGUACCUAAAGAAUAAGCACCGGCUAACUUCGUG
This 492-nucleotide ribosomal RNA is filed under the name uncultured bacterium. RNAcentral describes it as "partial 16S ribosomal RNA". It matches the Rfam family "Bacterial small subunit ribosomal RNA", at positions 29 to 507 of the family's 1533-position model. The record is from RNAcentral.